GACGAACGCUGGCGGCGUGCCUAAUACAUGCAAGUUGAGCGCUGAAGGUUGGUACUUGUACCAACUGGAUGAGCAGCGAACGGGUGAGUAACGCGUGGGGAAUCUGCCUUUGAGCGGGGGACAACAUUUGGAAACGAAUGCUAAUACCGCAUAAAAACUUUAAACACAAGUUUUAAGUUUGAAAGAUGCAAUUGCAUCACUCAAAGAUGAUCCCGCGUUGUAUUAGCUAGUUGGUGAGGUAAAGGCUCACCAAGGCGAUGAUACAUAGCCGACCUGAGAGGGUGAUCGGCCACAAUGGGACUGAGACACGGCCCAAACUCCUACGGGAGGCAGCAGUAGGGAAUCUUCGGCAAUGGACGAAAGUCGGACCGAGCAACGCCGCGUGAGUGAAGAAGGUUUUCGGAUCGUAAAACUCUGUUGGUAGAGAAGAACGUUGGUGAGAGUGGAAAGCUCAUCAAGUGACGGUAACUACCCAGAAAGGGACGGCUAACUACGUG
RNAcentral lists this ribosomal RNA (497 nucleotides) under uncultured bacterium. RNAcentral describes it as "partial 16S ribosomal RNA". It matches the Rfam family "Bacterial small subunit ribosomal RNA", at positions 28 to 507 of the family's 1533-position model. The record is from RNAcentral.